UCAAGCGAGCCUAUUUCCCUUCUC
RNAcentral lists this non-coding RNA (24 nucleotides) under Arabidopsis thaliana (thale cress). Lineage: Eukaryota; Viridiplantae; Streptophyta; Magnoliopsida; Brassicales; Brassicaceae. The record is from RNAcentral.